Brassica napus (rape) is the source of this 3755-nucleotide RNA transcript. It is a transcript of the gene named cyclin-dependent kinase C-2 C-like, with no coding region annotated. The transcript is spliced from 12 exons. The record is from RefSeq and is a predicted model, not a curated record. NCBI's taxonomy places the organism in Eukaryota, Viridiplantae, Streptophyta, Magnoliopsida, Brassicales, Brassicaceae.
CUUUUACAAGUUAACCACCAUCAACAUGGUAAUCCAAUCAAGCUUUCAUACAAAAGAAAAUGCAAGUGGGAUUAUUUCCCUUAUUUUUCCAUAGUACUAAUAAAAAAACUUAAAUAUGAUGAAAUUCGGAAUAGAGAGAUUGGACUAUAAUAAAUUAGUACUAGUAAUAUAACUAUUAUAAAUUAAAGAAAUUCCAUCUUUAUCCCGCAGAGACUUUUGAACACCAAUGUCAAGGCUGCACGAAAUCGAUCUAUUGGAACAGAAGACUCUUGUCUUUUUGUAUCUCUCUAUAUAUUUACACACACAAAGUAAUAUCAGUAUCUAGAGAGAUUUAAAGAUCAAGUUUUAAAUAAGAAAUGGCUGUAGGGGAUGAUGUAUCUUCGAUGAGAACAACGACGUUAGUCGCUCCAACAAGACCCACGAUCACAGUUCCUCAGAGACCACCGGCGAUCGAAACGGCGGCGUACUUUUUAGGAGGUGGAGAUGGUCUUAGUCUAAGCCCAGGCCCACUUUCUUUUGUGUCGUCUUUGUUCGUUGAUAGCUUCCCUGACCUCUUGACUCCGGAUAAUCAAAGGACAACAUCAUUUUCUCAGCUUCUCGCCGGAGCUAUGUCGGUGUCUCCCGGUAGUGGACGUUCUACGGCGGGGAUGAUCGCCGGUGGAGGACCGUUGUUUACAAUUCCUUCUGGUUUCAGCCCUUCUAGUCUUCUCACCUCUCCAAUGUUCUUUCCUCCUCAGCAGUCACCUACUCAAACCGUCUUUGUUCAACCGCAGUCGCAACCAAAACGACCAGACUCAUUUCCUAACCAAAUGCCGCCAUCGACAUCCACGACCGUUCAUGGCCGUCGAUCAUGUAAAGCUCCGCAAGCCGAUCGUUAUAAUAAUCCGGCGGCGAAUAACAACAAUACUAACCGGUCUUAUAAUGUGGUGCACGUUGAUAAACCGGCGGAUGACGGCUAUAACUGGAGGAAGUACGGCCAAAAGCCUAUAAAAGGGUGUGAAUAUCCGAGGAGUUAUUAUAGAUGCACACAUGUUAAUUGUCCGGUUAAGAAGAAAGUUGAACGGUCAUCAGAUGGACAGAUCACUCAGAUCAUUUACAAAGGUCAACAUGACCACGAGAGGCCUCAGAACCGCCGUGGCGGUGGUGGUGAACUUAGAGGUUCCGGCGAAAUUGGUGAUAUUCAUUACAUUGGUGGUGUAGGACAUAUGGAGUCUAGUGAUGAUAGCGGUUAUGCUAAUGAUCAUGACAAUGAUAAUGAUGAUGACAAUGAAGAUAUUCCAGCUUCAAAGAUAAGAAAAAUUGACGGAGGUGUGUCGACAACUCACCGUUCCGUGACCGAGCCAAAGAUCAUCGUUCAGACAAGAAGUGAAGUCGACCUCCUCGACGAUGGUUAUAGGUGGCGCAAGUACGGACAAAAGGUUGUCAAAGGAAACCCCCAUCCGAGGAGCUACUAUAAGUGUACAACUGCGAAUUGUACGGUACGUAAACAUGUAGAGAGAGCUUCUACGGAUGUGAAGGCUGUCAUUACAACUUAUGAAGGUAAACAUAACCAUGACGUCCCUGCCGCUAGAAAUGGCACCGCCCCAGCAACCCCAGCCACAGCGGGUACGUCCGAUCACCAUCGGAUCGUCCUCCCUGCGUUGGACCCGUUUACCCGUCCCGGUCGAUCCUCACGCCGCCCGGAAACUUUCUGACAAUUAGUUCAUCCAUCAUGGGUUGCUUCAACUCCAAGCAUUCUUCUCCUCCUCCACGCCCUAUCCGCCGCCGUUCAGACACAGCCGCCAACCGAGGCCAUCCCCAAAACACCCACAAACCCUAUGUUCUUCCCACUCCGCCAUCUCACCGCCGUGUCGUCAACUCAUCUCCUAAAAAACAUCACAAUAAUGACGAUGACGCUCCAAGAUCGAAGACGACCGGAGUUAGCCAUAGAUCGGGAUUGCCGCAUGGAAAUGUAGAGGUUGAGCAGGUGGCUGCUGGUUGGCCAUCAUGGCUAACCUCCGCCUCACCAGAGGCCGUUCAUGGGUUGGUCCCGUUACGUGCAGAGGACUUCGAGAAAAGAGAGAAGAUUGGACAAGGGACGUAUAGCAACGUGUUCCGGGCUUGUGAGAUAUCGACGGGACGAGUCAUGGCUCUAAAGAAAAUAAGGGUUCAAAACUUUGACACAGAAAACAUAAGAUUCAUAGCAAGAGAAAUCAUGAUUUUGAGAAGAUUAGAUCAUCCAAACAUCAUGAAACUCGAAGGUAUCAUCGCCUCACGGAACUCAAACAGCAUGUACUUUGUGUUUGAUUACAUGGAACAUGAUCUUGAAGGCUUAUGUUCAUCUCCUGACAUCAACUUCACCGAGGCACAGAUCAAAUGUUAUAUGCAGCAGCUUCUAUUGGCAGUAGAACAUUGUCAUUUACGAGGGAUCAUGCACAGAGACAUUAAAGCAGCAAACAUUCUGGUGAAUAACAAAGGAGUUUUGAAGCUAGCUGAUUUCGGACUAGCCAACAUUGUAACACCAAGAAACAAGAAUCAGUUAACAAGUCGGGUUGUGACGCUCUGGUACCGUGCACCCGAACUUCUAAUGGGUUCCACGAGUUAUAGCGUGUCGGUCGAUCUUUGGAGCGUCGGAUGUGUUUUCGCCGAGAUUCUUACCGGAAGACCACCUCUUAAAGGAAGAACAGAGAUUGAACAACUUCACAAGAUUUAUAAACUAUGUGGAUCACCAGAUGAAGAACUUUGGAGAAAUAACAAGCUUCAUCCUCAAACUAAAAUGUUUGGACAACAACAUCAAUAUGAAGGUUGUCUGAGAGAAACAUUUGAGGAGUUUCCAAAAACAGCAGUUAAUCUUCUGGAGAAUCUAUUUUCUAUUGAUCCAGAGAAACGGGGAACUGCCUCUUCUGCUCUCAUGUCAGAGUAUUUUAAUACAAAGCCUUACGCUUGUGAUCCAUCGACGUUACCUAAGUACCCUCCUAACAAAGAAAUGGAUGCUAAGUACCGUGAAGAACUUCAACGAAGGAGAAGAGCAACUAUAAAGAAAAGAGAUAACUUGGUAUCCAAGAAAACGGGGAAAUCACGUAGAACAAUCAAAGACCCUCUUAGCAAGUUACCAACCCAACAGGAAACGAAGAAAGAAGCCGAGACAGAGAUCACUCUCCAGACGCCAUCAGAGACAUCUCAAGCGACCACUCGAAGCGAGUUCCCGUACACUGCUCUAUCUCAAGCCACGGCGCCGGCAAGCGGGUUCGCAUGGGCUGGAGCGAAGAAGAGGAAAGAAAACGACGCAGCUUCGACGCUGACAUAUAAUCAGCCUGCAGGAUCUGCGAGCCACGUGAGUGGUAUGAGCAUGGCUUUUGCUAAGAACACAUUCGGGCUAACAAUAAACGAGGACAGACCAUUUCUUAGGCCACACGUUUCUUUAGACUCCUCUGGUGAUAUCUUGUUGUACCCUAACGUGCAUCACAAGAAAGAAGAAGAUAAUAUGAGUCAACUAAAUUCGGAUUUGAGGAAUGUUGGGGCGAAUCCAAAGAUUUUUCAAACCAAUGGGAUGAAUGAGAUAUUAAGGAGAACAGAAAGUGAUGCAAGAGUCGCUGUUCGAAGACCGCCACGGAUAGAAAGAGGUUAAUAACGAAAGAGAGAAAGCUUUACCAUUAUUCUUUUUAGCCAUGUUUUCACUUGGCAUCAUUUGUAGUCCAUAAAAUUUAAAAAAAAAUCUUUCACAAACAAACCAUGUUGGUCUGAAAAGCUUUUGAAAUGAUGAUUUUGUUUCUCUU